UCUAGGCUAAUUGCACUGAAAUUGUUUUGCUGCUGCACUGUCAUAUUGAUAGUAAGUAAUGUCUAGAGUCCCAGAAUCUCAUGUUCUGUUUAUUGCAUUGUCUUGAGGGUUGUCAUAGCUUGAAUCAUCAUGAAUGUGUUGUAGAAUUGAGUAGAAUGUCUCUGCUGCUUGCAUCAUGAUUGAUAAGUUAUUUUGCAUACAUAAGCAUAUCUCAUACUGUCUAAGUUCAAUCCUAUUGUUAUCUGAUGCUAUUGCCUAUGUUUAAUCCAUCAAUGAAAGUCUUGCAUCAAUUAGAAAUUGUCUAAGUUGUUUGCAUCAUUGGUUUUGAUUGAAACUGUUGUGCAUAGCCUUAAUAUUGCUCAUGGAUUGAACCUGUUGCAUUCACAUAGCUAAAGCUUUAACAUUGUGCAUUCAUAUAGUAAUGCAUUUAAAAAUGAGCCUAAAUUGCAAAUGUACUGAUAGGAUUGCAUUGCAUUUAGAGAACUUAAAAAUAGAACUUGCAUUGUCAUUAUUAGAGAUUAAAAUCUACUUGUCUUGACUCAGUCCAGUUCUGAUUGUUGCUAUGCCAUAGUUAAAUCCAUCAGUGAUGUCUUAUAAGCACUUAGAAGUAUGUCUAAGCAAUUUGAAUCAUUGGCUUUGAUAAAACUAGUGAGCAUAAGCAUGAAUUGAGUCACUCUUGUCGCCUUGAUUGCAUAAGUAUCAUCUAGACUUGUGUUCCAUUUAGAUUGAAUCUGUUUCAUUCAUAUAGUUAGUGUGUAACCUAAUGCAGUCAUCUAUUGUUGCAUUUAAAAAAAAAACAAAACUGAAUUGAUUGUCUUUGCUUGAUUGUCUUGAUUGUCUAGCUUGUUUCAAGUAUAAUAUAUUAUUGUGGCAUUGGUGAUCAAACAGGAUGGAUAAUCUUGGUUUGAUCCCAAUGGGAUGAUCUGAUCUUGCAUUGAGUUGUGGUGG
This 948-nucleotide long non-coding RNA is filed under the name Brassica rapa (field mustard). RNAcentral describes it as "long non-coding RNA (BRAP_LNC008213)". Lineage: Eukaryota; Viridiplantae; Streptophyta; Magnoliopsida; Brassicales; Brassicaceae. The record is from RNAcentral.